CUGCAACUCGCCUACAUGAAGUCGGAGUUGCUAGUAAUCGCGGAUCAGAAUGCCGCGGUGAAUGCGUUCCCGGGUCUUGUACACACCGCCCGUCACACCAUGGAAGUUGGGGGCGCCCGAAGUUGGUCGGGAAAUAGAUUACCUAAGGCGAAACCAAUGACUGGGGUGAAGUCGUAACAAGGUAGC
This 186-nucleotide ribosomal RNA is filed under the name uncultured bacterium. RNAcentral's name for it is "partial 16S ribosomal RNA". It matches the Rfam family "Bacterial small subunit ribosomal RNA", at positions 1305 to 1500 of the family's 1533-position model. The record is from RNAcentral.